GAAAUGCGAUAAGUAGUGUGAAUUGCAGAAUUCAGUGAAUCAUCGAAUCUUUGAACGCACACUGCGCCCUUUGGUAUUCCAAAGGGCAUGCCUGUUCGAGCGUCAUUUGUACCCUCAAGCUUUGCUUGGUGUUGGGCGUCUUGUCUCCAGUUCGCUGGAGACUCGCCUUAAAGUAAUUGGCAGCCGGCCUACUGGUUUCGGAGCGCAGCACAAGUCGCGCUCUCUUCCAGCCAAGGUCAGCAUCCACAAAGCCUUUUUUCAACUUUUGACCUCGGAUCAGGUAGGGAUACCCGCUGAACUUAAGC
This 305-nucleotide unclassified non-coding RNA is filed under the name plant metagenome. RNAcentral describes it as "partial contains 5.8S ribosomal RNA, internal transcribed spacer 2, and large subunit ribosomal RNA". The stretch from base 1 to 105 matches the Rfam family "5.8S ribosomal RNA", at positions 50 to 154 of the family's 154-position model. The record is from RNAcentral.